GCCAAUGAUGAUUCAAUCCAUCCGUUUAAGACUUUGUGGAGCCAAGUCCCUGUUUCAGGGAGAACCUACUUGGUGAAGCGAUGUUCAUAUGAUAUAAAUGGAUUUAACUGAGGU
Benincasa hispida (wax gourd) is the source of this 114-nucleotide small nucleolar RNA. RefSeq annotates it as small nucleolar RNA Z278. Lineage: Eukaryota; Viridiplantae; Streptophyta; Magnoliopsida; Cucurbitales; Cucurbitaceae. The record is from RefSeq and is a predicted model, not a curated record.